Molecule: non-coding RNA, 60 nt
Filed under: unclassified sequences
Description: GP20-b RNA
Rfam family: GP20-b RNA
Source: RNAcentral
CGCCGUCCGCAGGCGUAGGAGAGCGGAUAGGAACGGGAGGCGACCCCGUGAAAAAGAGUA